Long non-coding RNA from Tachysurus fulvidraco (yellow catfish), 288 nucleotides. RefSeq lists it as uncharacterized. The record is from RefSeq and is a predicted model, not a curated record. The transcript is spliced from 2 exons. Lineage: Eukaryota; Metazoa; Chordata; Actinopteri; Siluriformes; Bagridae.
GGAAAAGCAUGGACUGAUGAUCCCCUCUACUUUUCUUUUCUUCUCUGUUGUUUUGCAUGUCCUCCAGCACCUUCUGCAUUUGAUUUUGUUUUACUUCAAAGGACAUCAACAUAUCAUCUGCAAAUUAAGAACUUAGAACAACCUCCAAGAUCCAAAUCAAUCAGCACAUUCAGAGACUUUGACCAAUAAAUAUAUCAAUACUUCACUUGGAGGCUGUGGUGGGACCACAUUGAAACCAUGAAGAUCGUUUUGGACUGCAAUUAAAUUUCAAUAAAAAAAUAAAAUGAC